AUUUCAUUUUCUGCAGCCCAGCUAGGCAGCUCCUGCUCCCUGCGUUGCCUACUCUCCGGCGUUCCAUCCGCUGUUUCUCUGGUCCUCUGCGGCUCUGCCAUUGCAAGCAAGCCUGCAACAGCAAACACCACUAGUUCCCUCCAUUCCCACUCUCCAGUCCUCCACGCGGACCUCGCUCUCACUUGCCUGGUCCUCCUCCCCUUUCUCAGAUAACUCCCCCUCAUUUUGAUCCUGUUCCUGUAGGCGAUAGAUUUAUAUUUUUCC
Molecule: unclassified non-coding RNA, 264 nt
Filed under: Hevea brasiliensis (rubber tree)
Lineage: Eukaryota; Viridiplantae; Streptophyta; Magnoliopsida; Malpighiales; Euphorbiaceae
Source: RNAcentral